Long non-coding RNA from Balaenoptera acutorostrata (minke whale), 1446 nucleotides. RefSeq lists it as uncharacterized. The transcript is spliced from 4 exons. The record is from RefSeq and is a predicted model, not a curated record. NCBI's taxonomy places the organism in Eukaryota, Metazoa, Chordata, Mammalia, Artiodactyla, Balaenopteridae.
CGUCGCGCCCCGGGGGAGGGGUCAGGUGUGUGGGGCGGCGUCCGCGUUGGUGGGGGUCCCGCUGCGGGCCCGCAGCACAGCCGUGCGGCCGAGUGAGGCGGCCAGUGAGGGUCGGAACCGGGGGUUCUUGGGGGGUCAUUGUCAUUUGAGGAUGUGGCUGUGGACUUCACAUGGGAGGAGUGGCAGCUCUGGAUUCUGCUCGAAAGAAUUUGUACAGAAAUGUGAUGUUGGAGAACUUGAGCAGCCUUGAGUCGCUAGAAGCUGAAACCCAAGAAAUUGGACUCAAGUCCUCUGUGAUUUCCCAUGUGCAGGGUUUCAGGUUAUCAAACCAGAUGUGAUCUUCAGACUGGAGCAAGACCAGCCAUGGGCAAUAGAUGAGGAUACCCCAAGUCAGAGCUUUUCAGAGUUCUGGAAAGUUGAUCAUUACAAAGCUUGGCACCAAGAAACCCAAGACAGGCAUAAAAGAUUGGAACAAGCCUGUGAAAGUAACGCGAGUGGAAAAACAUUUCAAUCAGGCAUGUACCUUGAACCUUUAAAGCAAAACCUAAUAAGUAUGUUUCAAAUGGAAAACAUUUGCAAUAUUCAUUAGAUUUGCUUACUCAGAGUGGAAAUUAUGGAAGGAAGAAACCUGGUAAGUUUAAUGGGUAUGAAAAAUCAUUUCUCUAUACCAAACAUGAAAAAAUUUGUUUUGGAUUAAAAUACUAUGAAUGUAAUGAAUGUGGAAAAGUCAACAGCAAGAAGUCACGGCUCAUCAUCCAUUGGAGAACACACACAGGGGAGAAACCCUUUAAGUGCAGUGAGUGUGGUGAAGCCUUUUCACAGAAGUCAAACCUUGCUACACACCAGACCAUUCACAUGGGAGAACAACUUUAUGGAUGUGAGUGUGGGAAGGCCUUCUCUCAGAAGUCGCACCUCAUUACACAUCGGAGGGCUCACACUGGAGAGAAGCCCUAUGGAUGUGGUGAAUGCGGGAAAGCCUUCUUCCAGAAGUCACACCUCGUGAUCCAUCAGCGAGCUCACAUAGAACAGAAACCGUAGAAGUAUAGCAAAUGUGAGAGACUUUUACAAAAAGUUCAAUAAUCAUGACAGCAGAGGAAGAAGCAUAUUGCUUCAGACGUAUGUUUAUAGGACUUGUAUUCCCAAGUAUGGCUAAAUAAUAUGAUUUUAUAUUUUUUCAUAGCAUAUAUGAAAUUAAUAUAACUGUGAACAUGAUAUAUGUUCUGUUCAUAGCAUGGCAUCUGUCAAGAGUUCUGCAUAGACUAUCACUUACCUUGCACUACAACAAUAGAAUGUAAACUGGAUCAAAUGAUUGACUUACUAUUUAACAAAGAGGUUAAAUGACCAAGUACUUUCUGGUACAUGUAACUGAGUCUGAGAACUCUCACCAUGCUGUGUCUUCAGUCAUCGAAGCUGGGAUUUUUAAAUAAAGUCUCCUGCUUCCUCUGA